UGUUUCAGUGUAGAUGCUGCAGGGUAUUUCAGAUGAAGGAAUGAGAGGUGAGAGGGAGGUUGGUUUGUGCAAGAACAGGUGGAGUCACUUACGCAUUUAGCCUACAUUAGUUUUGAUCGAACACAGCUGGAGCAUCACAGACACUGAGUGAAUUCAUCACUAAAUAAGAUCAACCAUGGCGAAAACAUCAAUUAAGAUUAAAAUAGCAGACAUGAGUGAUGAGAUGCAGCGGGAGGUUCUACAAUGUGCUUUUCUGGCUGUGAAUAUGUAUGAAGAUGGCUUGGACAUUGCUACCUACAUCAAGAAGGAAUUUGACAGAAGGCAUCAGCCCAACUGGCAUUGCAUUGUGGGGAACUGCAGUAGCCAUGUGACACACAAUAAAAGCUGUUAUAUCUCCUUUGAUGUUGGCAAUAAACAUAUUGUGCUUUUCAAGACGAGCUGAUCCACAGCAACAGUUCAAACCCAUUUGGUUAAGGUGCUAAGAAAUUCAGGGUCUGCUUUUUUUUUUUUUAAGUUGUGGUGAUUUUUGUUUCCAAAUGUUGUUGCAUGGCUUUGGUUGUUUAAAUAAACAUGACUAUAAUUCAC
Molecule: long non-coding RNA, 585 nt
Organism: Sinocyclocheilus rhinocerous
Lineage: Eukaryota; Metazoa; Chordata; Actinopteri; Cypriniformes; Cyprinidae
Exons: 3
Source: RefSeq, a predicted model, not a curated record